Molecule: unclassified non-coding RNA, 380 nt
Filed under: uncultured bacterium
Lineage: Bacteria
Description: contains 16S-23S intergenic spacer region
Source: RNAcentral
UCCGGUUUGUCACCGGCAGUCCCCUUAGAGUCCCCGACUUGACUCGCUGGCAACUGGGAGCGGGGGUUGCGCUCGUUGCGGGACUUAACCCAACAUCUCUCGACACGAGCUGACGACAGCCAUGCAGCACCUGUCUUGGGACUCCGAAGAGGGGCCGUGGUUUCUCACGGCUUUCCCCAAGAUGUCAAGCCCAGGUAAGGUUCUUCGCGUUGCGUCGAAUUAAACCACAUGCUCCACCGCUUGUGCGGGCCCCCGUCAAUUCCUUUGAGUUUUAGCCUUGCGGCCGUACUUCCCAGGCGGGACACUUAAUGCGUUAGCUGCGGCACUGGAGGGGUCGAUGCCUCCAACACCUAGUGUCCACCGUUUACGGCCAGGACUAC